Panicum virgatum (switchgrass) is the source of this 2646-nucleotide long non-coding RNA. RefSeq lists it as uncharacterized. The record is from RefSeq and is a predicted model, not a curated record. The transcript has 2 exons. Lineage: Eukaryota; Viridiplantae; Streptophyta; Magnoliopsida; Poales; Poaceae.
UCCCGCACGCCGCCGCCGCCGCCGCCGAUCUCGCCCCCUGCCAAACGCGCGCCCGCUUCUCCCACGCCCGCACGCCCGCACGCCGCCGCCGUUCGCGCCAGAGUCCGCGCCAGCUCUGGGCGGACGCCGGACGCCCUCUCCAUCGAUUCCGCGCCAGCUCCGGGCGGACGCCGUACGUCCUCGCCAUCACCGUCGCCGCCUCCAUGCCGACUCCGCCAUCGCCGAGUCUUCACACGGACGGCGCAACCCUCUGACUCCAGCGUCCCGGGCAAGAACGGGUCGAUUGCCGGACGCCCUCGCCAUCGAGGCCGCGCCAGCUCCGGGCGGACGCCGGACGCCCUCGCCAUCACCGUCGCCGUCGCGUUCGUCCGUCCCCUAUCGACUCAUCGAUCUGCCACCGCCUGCCAGGCGCCAUGCCCCCCGCACAGACGAGCACCUCCAGGAGUCCAGGUCAGUCUCUGAUUCAUGACGCCCGCAGAUUUGCAACCAAUGGCUCGACAUGAUUUUUCUUCUUAUCCCCGUGAUGAACCUCCUAUAGUCUAAUAAGAAAUUAGGAUUUCAUCCGUGGAUCCUCUAGGCCGCGUGACUUCACCUCAAUUCUAUAGAUUGACUUCAGAUCGACGCGUGCUCAUGGAUGAAUUGUUGGUGAUUCCCCUGCCGGCUCAAGGUACUCUUCAAUUUGCUCAUCUUCUUCUAUUCCCGCGGUUAAUUUCUGUCCAUGGUCAAUUAGGAUUUUUGUUGUUAAUUUCUGUCCAAUAGCAAAUUCCUACGGUUGCUGACGAGCGCCCGCAACCUUGAUGUAUAUACAGUAUGAAGAUCAUGCAAGGUAGAUUCGAUCCCAUUGCUUUGCAAACUGAACCAGCUUUUGCUUAGUUUUCUGAAAUCUUAUUGUUACAUUCUCUCUACUUAACCUGUGUUUACUGAACUCCAUGCUUAGGUCCUUGCAGUAGGCGGGUUCCUUUGAUGGUUAGCUUCGAGAUUGACCUGUCGUCCUACUGGAAAGAUCAUUGAGCUCAGUAGAGUUGAGAUGCACAAGCGCGGAGCUGCAGUAGGAACAACACCAUGUCUACGCUCACUGCCCCUAGCCUGUUCGAUGUUUUGACUGCUUAUCAAAUGGUGGACAACUGGACAUGCUAAUGUUUCAUUGAAAGUCUUUCAUUCACAUAGUUUGAUUGUAGAUUUUAUUGCAGAAUAUAUUCGGAAUUGAAGAAGAACUCACUUUUUGCUAAAAUGCUGAUUUUGUCUGACUAUAUCAUGAUUGUAGUCAAGACUGCUAAUCCACCUUAUUAGGAAUUUCUCAGCGAGGAAGGAGCACAAGCCAGCAUUACUGUUUUUUUUCGCGGAACAUAAUAUUAAGAGAGUUAAGUCACUUUGCCUACUGAUUUUUUUUCCUCUUACAGAAUAUUUCUAUGCUUUGUAAAGUUUUGUUUUAACAUCAUGGCCUCCUUGCACAUGUAUGGUCCCUUAUAUGCUGAAACCUUUGAUUGAUUUGUUUGCCCUGCAUAUAUCUGCCAUUGAAGCAUGAAAUAAUUGGUGCUCCUUCAAUUGUCACUAGCACUCCUUAAGUAGCCUUAGGAUUUGGUACCUCAAGUGUAUUUCUUUUUAGAAUCGAUUGACUUUGAUCCGUACACAGCUAUCAUCCUAUAUUUUUUCUCCUGCCAUGUUAUAAUCGGCAUUGUUAGAAGUGCUAAUUAACCUAUGACGUUUGAUCUAAAUCCUAGAUGGCUGGUAUGCCACUUUCUAUAGCACUUAUAAUUUUAGGAAGUAUCGAUAAUGGGAGAUAGUUAAUGUUUUUUGCAACAACAUGACCUUCACAGAUCCUCCAACACCUGAAGAAAAGGGAAAAGGAUCCACAGAGUCUAUAAAUUAUUGAAAUUGAGUCUCUCAUGAAAUAUUUUGAGAUUGCAAUACUUUGAGUCAGAAAAAUGAUUUAUUGAUUAGCACUUUGGUUCUUUUAAAGCAUUAUCAUACUCUGUAUUUUCCAAAUUAACUUUUUGAUCCUAUUGUUUACAUCAUUCAGACAGCUGUUUUGACUUUUGCAUGUUAUUUUUCACAUACAUUAGCAAAAGGUUAUUUGUAUGGUCAGUUCAACUAUCAUUUCUCCAAUUAAUUUACUGCUAAUUAUUUUCUUUGAACCCUUCAGUUUAUACAUUGUUUACAAGGCCAUGGUAGGCCCCAAAUAUUUUGGCCAAGAUUUGAUCAAUUAUAUGUGGCAUAUAGGAGUAAUAAUAUGUAGUAUUUUUGUUCACAGGUGCAAUAGUUUCCCCCCUUUUAUCACUUUCUCUAGAAGGUAUACUGUGAAAUAUAUGACAUUUGCAUGUUGGGGACGCCAUUGGAGAUGGAUGAGGUGGUGGGAACACAGGACUACAGGAGCAUGGUAGGGCGGAGCUCUGAUGGAUAUGCAAAUGGAGCGUCCCGCAUUAAUAUAUGACAUUUUCGGUCUGUGUUUAGGAAUUUAGACUUAUGGAAUCGAUAUUCAAAUCAUUGUAUGGCAUGGAUAUAUAUAACUGAAAAAAAUAUAUCUUAUGUACCAUAUUUUUUGUUUAACUUUCCAAUUAUUGCUUUGAAAAUUUGUUGCUUCCUGUGGCAACGUAUGUGCAUAGAACUAUUUGAUGAAAAAUAUAAAUGUAUAUGGAGUUGGCUAUA